RNAcentral lists this ribosomal RNA (497 nucleotides) under uncultured bacterium. RNAcentral describes it as "partial 16S ribosomal RNA". It matches the Rfam family "Bacterial small subunit ribosomal RNA", at positions 28 to 507 of the family's 1533-position model. The record is from RNAcentral.
GAUGAACGCUGGCGGCGUGCCUAAUACAUGCAAGUCGAGCGAACAGACGAGGAGCUUGCUCCUCUGACGUUAGCGGCGGACGGGUGAGUAACACGUGGAUAACCUACCUAUAAGACUGGGAUAACUUCGGGAAACCGGAGCUAAUACCGGAUAAUAUAUUGAACCGCAUGGUUCAAUAGUGAAAGACGGUUUUGCUGUCACUUAUAGAUGGAUCCGCGCCGCAUUAGCUAGUUGGUAAGGUAACGGCUUACCAAGGCAACGAUGCGUAGCCGACCUGAGAGGGUGAUCGGCCACACUGGAACUGAGACACGGUCCAGACUCCUACGGGAGGCAGCAGUAGGGAAUCUUCCGCAAUGGGCGAAAGCCUGACGGAGCAACGCCGCGUGAGUGAUGAAGGUCUUCGGAUCGUAAACCUCUGUUAUUAGGGAAGAACAAAUGUGUAAGUAACUAUGCACGUCUUGACAGUACCUAAUCAGAAAGCCACGGCUAACUACGUG